CACGAGUGGCGAACGGGUGAGUAACACGUGGGUGACCUGCCCUGUACUUCGGGAUAAGCCUGGGAAACUGGGUCUAAUACCGGAUAUGACCUUCUCCUGCAUGGGGGUUGGUGGAAAGUUUUUGCGGUACAGGAUGGGCCCGCGGCCUAUCAGCUUGUUGGUGGGGUAAUGGCCUACCAAGGCGACGACGGGUAGCCGGCCUGAGAGGGCGACCGGCCACACUGGGACUGAGACACGGCCCAGACUCC
RNAcentral lists this ribosomal RNA (248 nucleotides) under uncultured bacterium. RNAcentral describes it as "partial 16S ribosomal RNA". It matches the Rfam family "Bacterial small subunit ribosomal RNA", at positions 90 to 339 of the family's 1533-position model. The record is from RNAcentral.